This is a long non-coding RNA of Cyprinus carpio carpio, 715 nucleotides long. NCBI's taxonomy places the organism in Eukaryota, Metazoa, Chordata, Actinopteri, Cypriniformes, Cyprinidae. The record is from Ensembl.
UAAUUAAUUCCUGAUUGCUAAUUUUAUUGAUUAUUAUGACGUUCUUAAUUCUUGGCCAUGAUUUAAUUAGGCUUAACCUUGUUGACAUAAUGACUAUAAUAAGUAGAUCUAGCCCGAACAAUUAAACGUAAUAAUAAUUAAACUUAAAAAGAUGAUAAAAUCAUGUUGAUGUGAAAUGUGUCAGAUUUACCUGUAGCUUACUGUAUUAUUAAGGCUGAUUUAUACUUCUGCGUCGGGCCUACGCCGUAGCCUUUUCGCCGUAGGCUAUGCGUCAGUUCCAGGCUGUCGAUGACUGCACCGCAGAGGAAAAGAGACUGCUGGACUUCAUUGUAAAGUUACAGGGAUCUGAGGAGCAUUUGGUGGGUUUACUCAAUGGGAACCCCUCUAAGUGGUCUCAUAAGCUAACCUCUUCCCAAGUGCCUGUCUGCCUCGACAGUGAGGAACAACUGUCCUGUUUGCCUGCCCUACUGCAUAUGAAACCAACUCAAGUGCAGUUCAUCUGUGGUGCUCUUUUUUCAGAGGCCAUCAUAUAUGCCCUAGCUAUCCUACGGAAUAUGUCCUUGCAGGAGACUGAGCAGGUCUUCCUUUCUAGUCCGGAUUAUCAUUACAGGUCAGAGAGGAAUAUGAAUUAUUUUUGCACAAUGCUCAGUGCACCCUUUUGUAACUGAUAUUUCUGUUAACCCAACAGUGAAUGUUCUCAUAUAACUAUUUCAGU